CGCACUCCCCUGCAGCGGUUCCAUCCUCACGAGGAGAGAGAGAGAGAGAGAUGGGUGUUGGACUUCGACUGUGGUUGUGCUUGUUGUUCUGCUUUGCGAUACUCUCUUCUGCCAGAAACACCAUUUCUCUCUCAGAGGACAAGGUAGCGAUGGUGGUGGAAGCCAUGGAAGGAAGGUCUCUGACAAUGAAUCUUAACGACUACAAUGAAGCGUCAGCAAAUUCCCAGCACAAUCCCAAAACCAAAGGUGGUGGUGGUGGUGGUAGGAAAACCCUUGAUUAACCCUAAUCCAUUACACCGUCUCGGUGUAAUCAGUAUCAGGCUGUCUACUACACUCGGCAAUACAAUCCAUUUUACUGCUUUAUAUUAUAUAUAUGGUUAGAUAAAUGUAUAUGCAUUUGGUGAUGUAUCAUCUGUAUGGGAGAAUGGGAUAUAUCAUAUGUGGGAGAGCAAGGCUAAUAUAUAUAUAUAUUACUUGUAGCUCCAUAUAUUCUAAGCCAUUUGUUUUUUAUUUUUAUUUUUGAUGGUGUACUGAUAUCGAUCAAUGUGUGCUACGCACAAUUUGAGGAAUGUAAUCUUUGUUUUGUGGUUAUUAAUUAAUCACUUUGUUA
Long non-coding RNA from Camellia sinensis, 610 nucleotides. RefSeq lists it as uncharacterized. NCBI's taxonomy places the organism in Eukaryota, Viridiplantae, Streptophyta, Magnoliopsida, Ericales, Theaceae. The record is from RefSeq and is a predicted model, not a curated record.